GAUGAACGCUAGCUACAGGCUUAACACAUGCAAGUCGAGGGGUAGCAGGGUAGCAAUACCGCUGACGACCGGCGCACGGGUGAGUAACACGUAUCCAACCUUCCCAUAACUCGGGGAUAGCCUUUCGAAAGAAAGAUUAAUACCCGAUAGUACUUUUUCAAGGCAUCUUGAGAAAGUUAAAGAUUUAUUGGUUAUGGAUGGGGAUGCGUUCCAUUAGAUAGUUGGUGAGGUAUCGGCUCACCAAGUCUUCGAUGGAUAGGGGUUCUGAGAGGAAGGUCCCCCACAUUGGUACUGAGACACGGACCAAACUCCUACGGGAGGCAGCAGUGAGGAAUAUUGGUCAAUGGGCGAGAGCUUGAACCAGCCAAGUAGCGUGAAGGAUGAAGGUCCUAUGGAUUGUAAACUUCUUUUAUAGUAGAAUAAAGUGACCUACGUGUAGGUUUUUGUAUGUAUACUAUGAAUAAGGAUCGGCUAACUCCGUGCCAGCCGCCGCCGUAA
Molecule: ribosomal RNA, 498 nt
Filed under: uncultured bacterium
Lineage: Bacteria
Description: partial 16S ribosomal RNA
Rfam family: Bacterial small subunit ribosomal RNA
Source: RNAcentral